Molecule: long non-coding RNA, 3207 nt
Organism: Passer domesticus (house sparrow)
Lineage: Eukaryota; Metazoa; Chordata; Aves; Passeriformes; Passeridae
Exons: 3
Source: RefSeq, a predicted model, not a curated record
GCAGUAGGAAAGAGCAUAAAUUCAGAACAAGAAUAAAUCUGUACUGAUGGCAAAGAGAACAAAGUACUUUCCAAGUUUUGCAAUCUCAAGACAAGGAGUACCGGCUGAGAACUGGUGCAGAGUGGAAACUUAACCUGCAAGGGCUGUAAUUGCCAUUAGAUCACUCUAUAGGCCUUAAAACCAAGAUACUGUUGAUAUUUCUGUGUACAAGGCAGAGGUGUACCAGAGCAAGGCAUGCAGGUAAAGCCACAGUGAGACUAGGGAAAGCAGUGUGGUUGUUACAUUCCUGAUGUCCAUGUCUUUUAGUCAAAUGAUAAUUAUCCAUUAAUAGCCUCAUAAGUAUGAAUAUGUAAAUAGCUAUGGAAUGCAUUAUUCAUGAAUCACCAGGCAUUAAUUAUUGUAAUUAAGUAUCAUUUGCUACGUUCAUAUUACUAACCCUUCCAGUUAAUGAAUACAUUAGCUAAUCACUGUAGAGCAGAUUCAAUCAAAAUUCCCUGUCUGUGCUAUGGAAGCCUGAGAGAGUUUUAUUGAAUUUAGAUUCAAUAUUGAACAUAUCCAACAUGCUUAUCAGUGUAUUUUUAAUGACAUUAAGUGUGAAUCAUAACCUCCAGUGCAUGAUGCUUGUCCUUGUACCCAGGAGGAUGGAAUGGUACCAGCUGGAAGAGAACGUGGAAGCAGCAGUGGUGCAGCACACGGCAGCAGCUCUGUGAACCAAGCACAACUUCAAUUCUGGGACACGAAAUCCACCUCCACUUUCAAGCCUCAUGUAUAUUCACGCGUACAAUAGGAGAGGGGGGGUGUUUUGUGAGGGAUCUGUCCCAAAAGUGCUGCUGGUGGCAGUGUUCAAGGAGCAAUUCCAAAGCUCAGCUGGAGCUGUUUGCCAGGCAGUGCCUUUGCCAGCAGCAGCAGGACACAGUCCUGGCAGGAUGUGCUCCCAGCCUAAUGGGGCUCAGGGCACUCCUGAAGCACGAAGGAAAAUGAACAGCCCAACCCUGGGUUUUGUCUUUACUCCCUGGAGGUCCAUUUCAACUAAUGGUAAUCUCAGUACCACAGAAAGAAGAUUUGCUGCAGCUUUUGUUUCAUUGCCUUUUUAGGGUUAUAGUUCUCACAAUCAGGCCUUAUGGGUUUUGAAGUAGAAAUUUUGAAUAAUUUAUUGUAAACAAGAGUUUCAUUAUUUUUAGGGAGAAUCACUAACUCAAGAUAUAAAUAUAUAAGUUCAAGUGCUGAAAGUUAAUAUAAGCAAGUAAAAUGCCCUCUUGGCUGAACUUCUGGCUGUCAGGGCAGAAAAAAUAUUUGCAAAGAAAGAAUGAAAUCUUAUUUUGUCUCUGUUAGUUUGAAGCAGAUUUUUUCCUAUUUUUAGUUUCACCAAUGUACUGUAGUCAUGUGCAAUGAGUAAAUGAUUAUUGGAUCUAGUUUCCUCAGUAAUCUGGGAGUAAGAAAAUCUAAAUAAGCAUAUAUCAAGGAUAUUUUCAAAUUCACAAACACAUGGGCUCUUUGUAGUUAAAAUUGUCAUAAGAUACAGCUGCAGACAGGGCUCGGUCCAAGCCUGGAUUUUUAAGAGCCAGAAGUAAGAACAAUGGUCAGUAAAGACAAUCUGCCAUUCCCUGGAGACACUUGGUGAAAUACCCCUCGUGUAUUUUCCAAGCACAGUGAAGAAUAUGCUUUCAUUCAUCCCACAACUGAUGCAAAUCCCUCUGCUCUCCCUUCCAGUGUCUCCAUCACUGCUGCCUCCCCCCUCUUUUCAGAAAUCUUAAUUGUGCCUCAAGCCCAAGCACUGUUAGUUCUCAUUACCCAGCUUUAUGAAUGACAGUCACUGGCAUCUGAAAACCAGUUUGAGUCUCAGUACCACAGAGGGACCCAUUACAGAUGUUACCAACAUGGAGCAUCACAAGCCACACCUCCAAAAAUCAUGACCUUGCUUUUUGACUUUCUUUCAUUUGCAUAUCUUAUAUCCCUCCUCUAAUUCUGAGUAUAUUGAGAUGAUAUUUUCCCAACUUCUUCUCAAUGCCCAAAAUAGUAGGAGUGUGGUUUGAUAUUUCUUUUUUUUAAUAAAUACUGAUUUUCCACAAAAGCAUGAACUCAGCAGGGAGUUUGUGUUUUUAAUUUAAAAAAAAAAUCAACUAUCAAAAAGAUUUGAAGUACAAUUGCAACACUGGAGAUGUAUGAAAAUUUUGCUAUUAUAUCUUAUAUUAAACAUGAAUAAUGGCCUUUUCAGCCCCUUGAAUUCUAAAAAAUCUUAGCAAUUGGAUGUUACAAAAAGGUUAGUACCCAGUAUCAUUAUUCAUCCAGCUAUUUUUUCAUGUUUGCUUUUAUACCUGUUUUCCUUUUAUACCGGUUUUCCUUUAUUUGUCUGACACCUGCACCUCUUAAAAAAUUUAGAGAAUUAUUUCACUUAACCUGGUAUUUGUUUAUUUAUUUUUUCACUUUUAAAACUAGAAAUACCAAGUCUGCAGGAGUGCAGCUGGGGUGGUUGGAGUGGCUGAAGAGCUUCAGUGGGAAGCACCUGCCUGGCCCUGCCCUUCCAGAACUCCUGGAAAACUCUGGGAUGAAGCAGCCUUGGCUGGUGUGUGGUGUUCCUGUGAAGUGUUCAGAAAACAUGGCACACUGAAAGCAAAUGAACAGAGCCAUCAGCAGGAAAUGAGGAGCAGACAUAAAGAGACAAAGGCAGAAGGUUUAUUUGGUGUAUAAAGGAAGGAAAUUUAUGUACACGUGCACAAUGCAGUCGAGGAUACAGAAGUACAAAGAGGAAGAGAGCAGCAUUUCUGAGGCCAGGGGAUGUUUCAUGAUGACAAGGCAUUAGAGGAAGGAAAGAAUUCAAUUACAGGAGCUGAGGGCACAGUUUCCUUCUCAGUAAUCUGGUAUAAGACAUACAAAUGUGUGGUUUUCCCAGCUGAGUGCUUCUGGAAAUAUUCACCUGCUUUUGAGAUACAUUUGAAUUUGUUCUGAAAAGAAAGGAAAAAAAAGGGAUGAAAUGUUCUGAUUUGAUCUGGUGAGCCCCCCAAGCAUGGAAGCACUGCUGGUUUAUGGUCUGGCAGCCUGGAGGAGCAGAGGCCAAAUGGUGCAUUUGAGAGGCUGCAGAAGAGAGCCUGGCUGCCACAGGCAGCUCCCUGCAGCUCGCCGGGCACGGGCUGCACACGAGGACCUUGGGAACUGUAAAAGAGAGAUUACUGCCAGCCAGUGGGAUGGAUGGAAGGAAGGCUCAUUCCC